Non-coding RNA from Cyanistes caeruleus (blue tit), 894 nucleotides. NCBI's taxonomy places the organism in Eukaryota, Metazoa, Chordata, Aves, Passeriformes, Paridae. The record is from RefSeq and is a predicted model, not a curated record.
AUUGCUUAGGAUUUUAAAAAUAAAUCAGCCAUUUAGGCAUAUGUCCCAACUAACUUUUAAUAUCACUUGCCUUAGCACAGCACUGCAAAGUGGCCUGAAUGCAGCAAUUUGCGGGAUUUGGCACUGUGAGCCCCACAAGCACUUAGCAAAAGCAAUUGUGUAGCUCUAUUGAAAAUCCCGCAUAUCAUGCUGUGGGGAGCCAGCACUUUUUAUCUGUCGGCACUGUUGGUGACAAAUAUUAAAAUAAAAAGUAUGACACUAUAGGUGCUUCAAAAUUCAAACUGCAAGUUUCCUACUGCGGGACUUCUAACCAUGUAAUAAAGUGCAGGGAAGAAAGCAGAGUUCAGACCCCAUGCUGUAAUAAAGGCAAGGAAAUCUUAAGUGUUCAAAUACAUAAUUCAUUCUCUUCUGAGACUUUCUACCAGGUUUCUCCCAGUAAAGAUUUUAAUUUGUGCCUGAAUGAUACAAUCUUUAAUUUCUGUUUUACGUCCAGAGACAGCUGGGAGGGCGCUGGGGCAGCCAUACCCAUUGUGGUGGAUGAGAGCACACGGUCAGGAUGGGUCAGAAGCUCCUCUGCAGCUGGGAGGCUGUGACAGCCCCACAGGGCCAGCCCGGGCACAGGAGAAGGAGCCCCCAGCUGCCACUCGCUGUGAAAGUGCCUGCAAAAAAGUCACCGCAGCAGUCAAUGAGCUUUGUUUGUUUCCCAUAGAAACACUUUGCACCUUAAAUAAUACCUUCCUCCAAGCAUCUCAAGGCACAUAGCAAACACUGACUGAGCUUCAUCUUUCUGUGGGGAGAUUAAUGGGACAGAGAAAUCCAAGAAAGCAAGUGGAGGCUGGAGUGAUGCUGAUUACAGUGGAAGGCAAAAGGGCAACCUUGGAUGGAGAGAUUUAG